Oncorhynchus keta (chum salmon) is the source of this 1411-nucleotide long non-coding RNA. RefSeq lists it as uncharacterized. The record is from RefSeq and is a predicted model, not a curated record. The transcript is spliced from 3 exons. NCBI's taxonomy places the organism in Eukaryota, Metazoa, Chordata, Actinopteri, Salmoniformes, Salmonidae.
GAGCCAGUUGUACGUGCUGAUAGUGUGGGAGCCAGUCUAAAGGUGCCUUCAACGUGCUGAUAGUGUGGGAGCCAGUCUAAAGGUGCCAGUUCUACGUGCUAAUAGUGUGGGAGCCAGUUCUACGUGCUGAUAGUGUGGGAGACAGUUCUACGUGCUGAUAGUGUGGGAGACAGUUCUACGUGCUGAUAGUAGGGGAGACAGUUCUACGUGCUGAUAGUGUGGGAGCCAGUCUAAAGGUGCCAGUUCUACGUGCUAAUAGUGUGGAAGACAGUUCUACGUGCUGAUAGUGUGGGAGCCAGUUCUACAUGCUGAUAGUGUGGGAGCCAGUCUAAAGGUGCCAGUUGUACGUGCUGAUAGUGUGGGAGACAGUUCUACGUGCUGAUAGUGUUGGAGCCAGUCUAAAGGUGCCAGUUCUACGUGCUGAUAGUAAGGGAACCAGUCUAAAGGUGCCAGUUCUACGUGCUGAUAGUGUGGGAGCCAGUCUAAAGGUGCCAGUUCUACGUGCUGAUAGUGUGGGAACCAGUCUAAAGGUGCCAGUUCUACAUGCUGAUAGUGUGGGAGCCAGUCUAAAGGUGCCGGUUCUACGUGCUGAUAGUGUGGGAGCCAGUUCUACGUGCUGAUAGUGUGGGAGCCAGUCCUACGUGCUGAUAGUGUGGGAGCCAGUUCUACGUGCUGAUAGUGUGGGAGCCAGUCUAAAGGUGCCAGUUCUACGUGCUGAUAGUGUUGGAGCCAGUUCUACGUGCUGAUAGUGUGGGAGCCAGUCUAAAGGUGCCAGUUCUACAUGCUGAUAGUGUGGGAGCCAGUCUAAAGGUGCCAGUUGUACAUGCUGAUAGUGUGGGAGCCAGUCUAAAGGUGCCAGUUGUACAUGCUGAUAGUGUGGGAGCCAGUCUAAAGGUGCCAGUUGUACAUGCUGAUAGUGUGGGAGCCAGUCUAAAGGUGCCAGUUGUACAUGCUGAUAGUGUGGGAGCCAGUCUAAAGGUGCCAGUUGUACAUGCUGAUAGUGUGGGAGCCAGUCUAAAGGUGCCAGUUGUACAUGCUGAUAGUGUGGGAGCCAGUCUAAAGGUGCCAGUUGUACAUGCUGAUAGUGUGGGAGCCAGUCUAAAGGUGCCAGUUCUGAGGACACUGGUUAUUAUUGUUGUAUCUGCAGACUGUGUGAGUCACUGCCUUGUCUUUGGUCAUGUGUUUAGAGAACAUAUGUGAUUAGAAAUGGAUGUAAGAGCUCAGAAACGGCUCGUUAUUUUGCUCUGCUUCUGUGCUGGAGGCGUCUCCCUGUUGCAACGUGUACUAAUCCACUGACUUCAUCAACAACCGUGCCGGUCUUCAUUUAACCUGGAAACACCCCCAUUACAACAAGACAGAACAAACACAUCUGGGACCUGGCUACAGCCUAGAUGAUGCCUGAACAAGUGAA